ACUAAAGUAGUUUAAUAAAGACACUAAUUUGUGGCAUUAGAAUUGCCAGUUAAAACCUGGCCUAUAGUC
This 69-nucleotide transfer RNA is filed under the name Acanthaster brevispinus. RNAcentral's name for it is "tRNA-His". It matches the Rfam family "tRNA". From Rfam's summary of the family: Transfer RNA (tRNA) molecules are approximately 80 nucleotides in length. Their secondary structure includes four short double-helical elements and three loops (D, anti-codon, and T loops). The record is from RNAcentral. Lineage: Eukaryota; Metazoa; Echinodermata; Asteroidea; Valvatida; Acanthasteridae.